CGAGUGGCGAACGGGUGAGUAAUGCAUCGGAACGUACCCGGGAGUGGGGGAUAACUAUCCGAAAGGAUAGCUAAUACCGCAUAUUCUGUGCGCAGGAAAGCAGGGGAUCUUCGGACCUUGUGCUCCCGGAGCGGCCGAUGUCAGAUUAGCUAGUUGGUGGGGUAAAGGCCUACCAAGGCGACGAUCUGUAGCGGGUCUGAGAGGAUGAUCCGCCACACUGGAACUGAGACACGGUCCAGACUCCUACGGGAGGCAGCAGUGGGGAAUUUUGGACAAUGGGCGCAAGCCUGAUCCAGCCAUGCCGCGUGAGUGAAGAAGGCCUUCGGGUUGUAAAGCUCUUUCGGCCGGGAAGAAAUCGUAUAGGUUAAUACCCUGUGCGGAUGACGGUACCGGCAUAAGAAGCACCGGCUAACUACGUGCCAGCAGCCGCGGUAAUACGUAGGGUGCGAGCGUUAAUCGGAAUUACUGGGCGUAAAGCGUGCGCAGGCGGUUUUUUAAGAUAGGCGUGAAAUCCCCGGGCUCAACCUGGGAACUGCGCUUAUGACUGGAAGACUAGAGUAUGGCAGAGGGGGGUGGAAUUCCACGUGUAGCAGUGAAAUGCGUAGAGAUGUGGAGGAACACCGAUGGCGAAGGCAGCCCCCUGGGCCAAUACUGACGCUCAUGCACGAAAGCGUGGGGAGCAAACAGGAUUAGAUACCCUGGUAGUCCACGCCCUAAACGAUGUCAACUAGUUGUUGGGAGGGUAAAACCUUUUAGUAACGGAGCUAACGCGUGAAGUUGACCGCCUGGGGAGUACGGCCGCAAGGUUAAAACUCAAAGGAAUUGACGGGGACCCGCACAAGCGGUGGAUGAUGUGGAUUAAUUCGAUGC
RNAcentral lists this ribosomal RNA (870 nucleotides) under Azonexus sp. D7. Its description in RNAcentral is "bacterial SSU rRNA". It matches the Rfam family "Bacterial small subunit ribosomal RNA", at positions 92 to 957 of the family's 1533-position model. Lineage: Bacteria; Pseudomonadati; Pseudomonadota; Betaproteobacteria; Rhodocyclales; Azonexaceae. The record is from RNAcentral.